GAUGAACGCUGACAGAAUGCUUAACACAUGCAAGUCUUUGGCGAAGCUGUGCUUGCACAGCCUAGCCAAGGCGGACGGGUGAGUAACGCGUAAGGAACUUGCCCUGCAGUCAGGGAUAACAGACGGAAACGACUGAUAAGACCUGGUAAAGUCAGGCGGACUCAUGUCCAGCCUGAUGAAAAGAGAUGCUGCAGGAGAGCCUUGCGUCCUAUUAGCUUGUUGGUGGGGUAACGGCCCACCAAGGCGAUGAUAGGUAGCCGGCCUGAGAGGGUGGACGGCCACAAGGGGACUGAGAUACGGACCUUACUCCUACGGGAGGCAGCAGUGGGGAAUAUUGGACAAUGGGGGCAACGCUGAUACAGCAAUUCUGUGGGCACGAUGAAGGUUUUCGGAUUGUAAAGUGCUUCCAGAAAGGAAGAAAAAAUGACGGUACCUGCAGAAGAAGCGACGGCUAAAUACGUG
RNAcentral lists this ribosomal RNA (462 nucleotides) under uncultured bacterium. RNAcentral describes it as "partial 16S ribosomal RNA". It matches the Rfam family "Bacterial small subunit ribosomal RNA", at positions 28 to 507 of the family's 1533-position model. The record is from RNAcentral.